RNAcentral lists this ribosomal RNA (2904 nucleotides) under Escherichia coli. RNAcentral describes it as "23S ribosomal RNA". It matches the Rfam family "Bacterial large subunit ribosomal RNA". The record is from RNAcentral. Lineage: Bacteria; Pseudomonadati; Pseudomonadota; Gammaproteobacteria; Enterobacterales; Enterobacteriaceae.
GGUUAAGCGACUAAGCGUACACGGUGGAUGCCCUGGCAGUCAGAGGCGAUGAAGGACGUGCUAAUCUGCGAUAAGCGUCGGUAAGGUGAUAUGAACCGUUAUAACCGGCGAUUUCCGAAUGGGGAAACCCAGUGUGAUUCGUCACACUAUCAUUAACUGAAUCCAUAGGUUAAUGAGGCGAACCGGGGGAACUGAAACAUCUAAGUACCCCGAGGAAAAGAAAUCAACCGAGAUUCCCCCAGUAGCGGCGAGCGAACGGGGAGGAGCCCAGAGCCUGAAUCAGUGUGUGUGUUAGUGGAAGCGUCUGGAAAGGCGCGCGAUACAGGGUGACAGCCCCGUACACAAAAAUGCACAUGCUGUGAGCUCGAUGAGUAGGGCGGGACACGUGGUAUCCUGUCUGAAUAUGGGGGGACCAUCCUCCAAGGCUAAAUACUCCUGACUGACCGAUAGUGAACCAGUACCGUGAGGGAAAGGCGAAAAGAACCCCGGCGAGGGGAGUGAAAAAGAACCUGAAACCGUGUACGUACAAGCAGUGGGAGCACGCUUAGGCGUGUGACUGCGUACCUUUUGUAUAAUGGGUCAGCGACUUAUAUUCUGUAGCAAGGUUAACCGAAUAGGGGAGCCGAAGGGAAACCGAGUCUUAACUGGGCGUUAAGUUGCAGGGUAUAGACCCGAAACCCGGUGAUCUAGCCAUGGGCAGGUUGAAGGUUGGGUAACACUAACUGGAGGACCGAACCGACUAAUGUUGAAAAAUUAGCGGAUGACUUGUGGCUGGGGGUGAAAGGCCAAUCAAACCGGGAGAUAGCUGGUUCUCCCCGAAAGCUAUUUAGGUAGCGCCUCGUGAAUUCAUCUCCGGGGGUAGAGCACUGUUUCGGCAAGGGGGUCAUCCCGACUUACCAACCCGAUGCAAACUGCGAAUACCGGAGAAUGUUAUCACGGGAGACACACGGCGGGUGCUAACGUCCGUCGUGAAGAGGGAAACAACCCAGACCGCCAGCUAAGGUCCCAAAGUCAUGGUUAAGUGGGAAACGAUGUGGGAAGGCCCAGACAGCCAGGAUGUUGGCUUAGAAGCAGCCAUCAUUUAAAGAAAGCGUAAUAGCUCACUGGUCGAGUCGGCCUGCGCGGAAGAUGUAACGGGGCUAAACCAUGCACCGAAGCUGCGGCAGCGACGCUUAUGCGUUGUUGGGUAGGGGAGCGUUCUGUAAGCCUGCGAAGGUGUGCUGUGAGGCAUGCUGGAGGUAUCAGAAGUGCGAAUGCUGACAUAAGUAACGAUAAAGCGGGUGAAAAGCCCGCUCGCCGGAAGACCAAGGGUUCCUGUCCAACGUUAAUCGGGGCAGGGUGAGUCGACCCCUAAGGCGAGGCCGAAAGGCGUAGUCGAUGGGAAACAGGUUAAUAUUCCUGUACUUGGUGUUACUGCGAAGGGGGGACGGAGAAGGCUAUGUUGGCCGGGCGACGGUUGUCCCGGUUUAAGCGUGUAGGCUGGUUUUCCAGGCAAAUCCGGAAAAUCAAGGCUGAGGCGUGAUGACGAGGCACUACGGUGCUGAAGCAACAAAUGCCCUGCUUCCAGGAAAAGCCUCUAAGCAUCAGGUAACAUCAAAUCGUACCCCAAACCGACACAGGUGGUCAGGUAGAGAAUACCAAGGCGCUUGAGAGAACUCGGGUGAAGGAACUAGGCAAAAUGGUGCCGUAACUUCGGGAGAAGGCACGCUGAUAUGUAGGUGAAGUCCCUCGCGGAUGGAGCUGAAAUCAGUCGAAGAUACCAGCUGGCUGCAACUGUUUAUUAAAAACACAGCACUGUGCAAACACGAAAGUGGACGUAUACGGUGUGACGCCUGCCCGGUGCCGGAAGGUUAAUUGAUGGGGUUAGCGCAAGCGAAGCUCUUGAUCGAAGCCCCGGUAAACGGCGGCCGUAACUAUAACGGUCCUAAGGUAGCGAAAUUCCUUGUCGGGUAAGUUCCGACCUGCACGAAUGGCGUAAUGAUGGCCAGGCUGUCUCCACCCGAGACUCAGUGAAAUUGAACUCGCUGUGAAGAUGCAGUGUACCCGCGGCAAGACGGAAAGACCCCGUGAACCUUUACUAUAGCUUGACACUGAACAUUGAGCCUUGAUGUGUAGGAUAGGUGGGAGGCUUUGAAGUGUGGACGCCAGUCUGCAUGGAGCCGACCUUGAAAUACCACCCUUUAAUGUUUGAUGUUCUAACGUGGACCCGUAAUCCGGGUUGCGGACAGUGUCUGGUGGGUAGUUUGACUGGGGCGGUCUCCUCCUAAAGAGUAACGGAGGAGCACGAAGGUUGGCUAAUCCUGGUCGGACAUCAGGAGGUUAGUGCAAUGGCAUAAGCCAGCUUGACUGCGAGCGUGACGGCGCGAGCAGGUGCGAAAGCAGGUCAUAGUGAUCCGGUGGUUCUGAAUGGAAGGGCCAUCGCUCAACGGAUAAAAGGUACUCCGGGGAUAACAGGCUGAUACCGCCCAAGAGUUCAUAUCGACGGCGGUGUUUGGCACCUCGAUGUCGGCUCAUCACAUCCUGGGGCUGAAGUAGGUCCCAAGGGUAUGGCUGUUCGCCAUUUAAAGUGGUACGCGAGCUGGGUUUAGAACGUCGUGAGACAGUUCGGUCCCUAUCUGCCGUGGGCGCUGGAGAAUUGAGGGGGGCUGCUCCUAGUACGAGAGGACCGGAGUGGACGCAUCACUGGUGUUCGGGUUGUCAUGCCAAUGGCACUGCCCGGUAGCUAAAUGCGGAAGAGAUAAGUGCUGAAAGCAUCUAAGCACGAAACUUGCCCCGAGAUGAGUUCUCCCUGACUCCUUGAGAGUCCUGAAGGAACGUUGAAGACGACGACGUUGAUAGGCCGGGUGUGUAAGCGCAGCGAUGCGUUGAGCUAACCGGUACUAAUGAACCGUGAGGCUUAACCUU